This 1554-nucleotide ribosomal RNA is filed under the name Cytobacillus depressus. RNAcentral's name for it is "bacterial SSU rRNA". It matches the Rfam family "Bacterial small subunit ribosomal RNA". The record is from RNAcentral. Lineage: Bacteria; Bacillati; Bacillota; Bacilli; Caryophanales; Bacillaceae.
UUUAUUGGAGAGUUUGAUCCUGGCUCAGGACGAACGCUGGCGGCGUGCCUAAUACAUGCAAGUCGAGCGAACUUGCGGGAGCUUGCUCCCAAAAGUUAGCGGCGGACGGGUGAGUAACACGUGGGCAACCUGCCUGUAAGACUGGGAUAACUUCGGGAAACCGGAGCUAAUACCGGAUAAUUCUUUUCUGCUCAUGCAGGAAAGCUGAAAGAUGGUUUCGGCUAUCACUUACAGAUGGGCCCGCGGCGCAUUAGCUAGUUGGUGAGGUAACGGCUCACCAAGGCAACGAUGCGUAGCCGACCUGAGAGGGUGAUCGGCCACACUGGGACUGAGACACGGCCCAGACUCCUACGGGAGGCAGCAGUAGGGAAUCUUCCGCAAUGGACGAAAGUCUGACGGAGCAACGCCGCGUGAGUGAUGAAGGUUUUCGGAUCGUAAAACUCUGUUGUUAGGGAAGAACAAGUACCGGAGUAACUGCCGGUACCUUGACGGUACCUAACCAGAAAGCCACGGCUAACUACGUGCCAGCAGCCGCGGUAAUACGUAGGUGGCAAGCGUUGUCCGGAAUUAUUGGGCGUAAAGCGCGCGCAGGCGGUUCCUUAAGUCUGAUGUGAAAGCCCACGGCUCAACCGUGGAGGGUCAUUGGAAACUGGGGAACUUGAGUGCAGAAGAGGAGAGUGGAAUUCCACGUGUAGCGGUGAAAUGCGUAGAGAUGUGGAGGAACACCAGUGGCGAAGGCGACUCUCUGGUCUGUAACUGACGCUGAGGCGCGAAAGCGUGGGGAGCGAACAGGAUUAGAUACCCUGGUAGUCCACGCCGUAAACGAUGAGUGCUAAGUGUUAGAGGGUUUCCGCCCUUUAGUGCUGCAGCUAACGCAUUAAGCACUCCGCCUGGGGAGUACGGCCGCAAGGCUGAAACUCAAAGGAAUUGACGGGGGCCCGCACAAGCGGUGGAGCAUGUGGUUUAAUUCGAAGCAACGCGAAGAACCUUACCAGGUCUUGACAUCCUCUGACACUCCUAGAGAUAGGACUUUCCCCUUCGGGGGACAGAGUGACAGGUGGUGCAUGGUUGUCGUCAGCUCGUGUCGUGAGAUGUUGGGUUAAGUCCCGCAACGAGCGCAACCCUUGAUCUUAGUUGCCAGCAUUCAGUUGGGCACUCUAAGGUGACUGCCGGUGACAAACCGGAGGAAGGUGGGGAUGACGUCAAAUCAUCAUGCCCCUUAUGACCUGGGCUACACACGUGCUACAAUGGAUGGUACAAAGGGCUGCAAGACCGCGAGGUUUAGCCAAUCCCAUAAAACCAUUCUCAGUUCGGAUUGCAGGCUGCAACUCGCCUGCAUGAAGCCGGAAUCGCUAGUAAUCGCGGAUCAGCAUGCCGCGGUGAAUACGUUCCCGGGCCUUGUACACACCGCCCGUCACACCACGAGAGUUUGUAACACCCGAAGUCGGUGGGGUAACCGUAAGGAGCCAGCCGCCUAAGGUGGGACAGAUGAUUGGGGUGAAGUCGUAACAAGGUAGCCGUAUCGGAAGGUGCGGCUGGAUCACCUCCUUUCUA